CCUACGGGAGGCAGCAGUAGGGAAUAUUGCUCAAUGGGGGAAACCCUGAAGCAGCAACGCCGCGUGGAGGAUGAAGGUUUUCGGAUUGUAAACUCCUUUUGUUAGAGAAGAUAAUGACGGUAUCUAACGAAUAAGCACCGGCUAACUCCGUGCCAGCAGCCUCGGUAAUACGGAGGGUGCAAGCGUUACUCGGAAUCACUGGGCGUAAAGAGCGCGUAGGCGGGAUAGCAAGUCAGAUGUGAAAUCCUAUGGCUUAACCAUAGAACUGCAGUUGAAACUGUUAUUCUAGAGUAUGGGAGAGGUAGGUGGAAUUUGUGGUGUAGGGGUAAAAUCCGUAGAGAUCAAGAGGAAUACUCAUUGCGAAGGCGACCUGCUAGAACAUAACUGACGCUGAUGCGCGAAAGCGUGGGUAGCAAACAGGAUUAGAUACCCUUGUAGUC
RNAcentral lists this ribosomal RNA (440 nucleotides) under uncultured bacterium. RNAcentral describes it as "partial 16S ribosomal RNA". It matches the Rfam family "Bacterial small subunit ribosomal RNA", at positions 338 to 795 of the family's 1533-position model. The record is from RNAcentral.